RNAcentral lists this ribosomal RNA (253 nucleotides) under uncultured bacterium. RNAcentral's name for it is "partial 16S ribosomal RNA". It matches the Rfam family "Bacterial small subunit ribosomal RNA", at positions 524 to 776 of the family's 1533-position model. The record is from RNAcentral.
UACGUAUGGUGCAAGCGUUAUCCGGAUUUACUGGGCGUAAAGGGAGCGCAGGCGGCGCGCCAAGUCUGAUGUGAAACCCCGGGGUUCAACCCCGGGCAUGCAUUGGAAACUGGCGGGCUGGAGUGCCGGAGAGGUAAGCGGAAUUCCUAGUGUAGCGGUGAAAUGCGUAGAUAUUAGGAGGAACACCAGUGGCGAAGGCGGCUUACUGGACGGCAACUGACGCUGAGGCUCGAAAGCGUGGGGAGCAAACAGG